RNAcentral lists this ribosomal RNA (550 nucleotides) under uncultured bacterium. RNAcentral describes it as "partial 16S ribosomal RNA". It matches the Rfam family "Bacterial small subunit ribosomal RNA", at positions 355 to 897 of the family's 1533-position model. The record is from RNAcentral.
UAGGGAAUCUUCCACAAUGGACGCAAGUCUGAUGGAGCAACGCCGCGUGAGUGAAGAAGGUUUUCGGACCGUAAAGCUCUGUUGUUGGUGAAGAAGGAUAGAGGUAGUAACUGGCCUUUAUUUGACGGUAAUCAACCAGAAAGUCACGGCUAACUACGUGCCAGCAGCCGCGGUAAUACGUAGGUGGCAAGCGUUGUCCGGAUUUAUUGGGCGUAAAGCGAGCGCAGGCGGAAGAAUAAGUCUGAUGUGAAAGCCCUCGGCUUAACCGAGGAAUUGCAUCGGAAACUGUUUUCUGAGUGCAGAAGAGGAGAGUAGAACUCCAUGUGUAGCGGUGGAAUGCGUAGAUAUAUGGAAGAAUACCAGUGGCGAAGGCGGCUCUCUGGUCUGCAAACUGACGCUGAGGCUCGAAAGCAUGGUAGCGAACAGGAUUAGAUACCCUGGUAGUCCAUGCCGUAAACGAUGAGUGCUAAGUGUUGGGAGGCUUCCGCCUCUCAGUGCUGCAGCUAACGCAUUAAGCACUCCGCCAUGGGGAGUACGACCGCAAGGUUGA